RNAcentral lists this small RNA (1112 nucleotides) under Pongo abelii (Sumatran orangutan). RNAcentral describes it as "processed transcript". The record is from RNAcentral. Lineage: Eukaryota; Metazoa; Chordata; Mammalia; Primates; Hominidae.
CAAGGCAUGUGUGAAAGCCUUUGACCCAAAGACAACUUGCUUACAGGAAUGCCUUAUCACCACCUUCCAGGAAGCCUACUUUGUUUCAGAAAGUUUUGAAGAAGCCAAAGAAAAGAUGAGAAUUCUUUAUCUAACAGGUAAUAACACAAAUGCUUCUGUCAAAGGCUGGCUUUCCAGGCCUAUUGGAGACAGACUACUUGGAUAAGAAACAGUGAAGAGACUUUAUCAUCUGUUUCUCCCAUGUCUAACUGCUAUGGAACGAAUUGGGUGCCUCCAAAAUUCCCAACUGAAGCCCUAACUUGCAGUGUGACUGUAUUUGGAAACAGGACCUGCAGGAAGUAAUUAAGGCUAAGUGAGGUCAUAAGGGUAGAGCCCUAAUCCGAUAAGUCUGGUGCCUUAUGAGAAGAGGAAGAGACACCAGAGCUGUCUUUCUACCAUGUGAGGACACAGUGAGGCUUGUUGGUGUUGAUUACAUGGAAGAGAAACUGAGGCACAAGUGUUAUGUGGUCAAGAUCAUACAGCUAAUAGGUGGCAGUCUGACUCCAAGUCUGUGCUUUUCACUGCUGUGCUAUGCCACUAAAGGGAUCCUUGUACUACCAGACAGGGGCUGAGAGCCUCAAGGUUUAUAAAUAAGCCCUGUGGUUCUGGCCAUUUUACUUGUCCUUUAGAGAGAACCACUAACGCCCUUCCAACCUCAUAAUGAUUGCAGUGAGGAAUAUCAACAAGGAAAUCUGCCUUCAACAGAAGAGAGCUUUGAGGAAAGAGAAAUUAAGAAAGGGAGUAAAUGUGGUCUUUUUCCUGAUCCAGGAGAGAAUUAAUAAAGAGUCUGGCACCUUUCAAAGUCUGACAAGAAACAUUCUAUUCUCUCUGAAGAAUACAUACAUACAGUCUAUUCUCUCUGAAGCCUUCAUCUGCAUAACAACAACCUUGGUCCCCACAACCCCUAUUUUAACUCAGACACUCCCUUGUAGUGACUCUAGGUCUAUAGAUAAACUCUUCCAAUCAAUUACAAAUCAGAUAAUCUUUGAAUCCAUCUAAGACUUGGAAUCCGCCCCCACCCCCGCUUCCAGUUGUUUCACUUUUCUUGAGAGAACUAAUGUAUAUCUUAUAUG